Long non-coding RNA from Lathyrus oleraceus (garden pea), 1107 nucleotides. RefSeq lists it as uncharacterized. The transcript is spliced from 2 exons. The record is from RefSeq and is a predicted model, not a curated record. NCBI's taxonomy places the organism in Eukaryota, Viridiplantae, Streptophyta, Magnoliopsida, Fabales, Fabaceae.
ACGUCCAAGUCAGCGGAAAAAGUCACCCACAAAAGCGCUUCUAGCACAUAGCUUUUCCUGAAGAAAAAAAACAGAUAGAGCCAAAGACGUGAUUCUUUAUCGAUUUGGCCUCGUGUUCUCGCGUUCUCCACUUCGACUCCUGCCUUUAAGACUAUUGCUUCUGAACUCUAACAUUAUCGUCAUCAUGUCCUUGUCGUCUUAUUUGUGUCUGUGUUUUGGGAUUGACAGCAGCGUCGUAUUUGCAUGGCGCUCGUGAAAGGCGUCACGUUCUUCGUUCGGAUCAGAUCUGUUCAGUUCGACGCUGCGACGCAAACCGGUAUCAUAUCAAUAUUUUCCUUCCUCUUCAAUCCUUUUCCGCAUUUGUGUUCUUCUUCUUCUCUGACUUGCUUCUUCUUCUGUGUGCACAAGAGUCUUUGUUGCGGGUUUGGGGUGAUGCGUGAGGUUUUUCCAUGAGUUUUUGCGUGAGCUUGUUGAAAAAAUUGUACAGGUUGAGAGUGAAGGUUCUGUAGAGCAAAAGUGAAGACCGAAUUUGUGAACUGGAAAACGAGAGAAAUGCCUUCCCUGAAGGAGGUUGCAGGGAACUAUAUAUAUGAGAUUGGUCUGUUAGAUUUUGUUACCCUCCGAUAAUUCCUCUAGCAUUACUUUGUUGAACGUGUGCACUAUCAGAAAACUGUUUAAUAUUAGUUUGCUAGAUUUGUUAUCAUUCAGUUAAGCAGUUUUGAUUCAGUGCUUGUGUCAUCGGCUCAUGGUUUAGUCAUGUUAAUGAAAAUUGCAGGGUUAAUAACGUGUUAGACAAAAGGAACUUCAGUGCAAAACCAAAAUGAGGCAGUGCAGUGUUCUGAUUCUAUUAAAGCAAAAAGUCAGAUCCAGAUGCAGAUAGUUAAUCGGUUGUUAGUUCAGGGCUAUGCCGAUUAGAAGCUUGACUUAGAGAUGGAGUUGGUUUGAUUCAUUGGACUUGUUUAUUAUUUUUAUAAGAUUAUAAAUGGAAUGUAAUGCCUUAAGUAAUUAUUGAAUUAGAUUUGUUUGGCAAGCAUAUAUUGAAUGGUUUCAUGUAUAUGAAUUUUGUAUGCAUGAUUAAUCUAAUGGUAGAAAGAAUGAUUUUGGAAA